This 253-nucleotide ribosomal RNA is filed under the name uncultured bacterium. Its description in RNAcentral is "partial 16S ribosomal RNA". It matches the Rfam family "Bacterial small subunit ribosomal RNA", at positions 524 to 776 of the family's 1533-position model. The record is from RNAcentral.
UACGGAGGGUGCAAGCGUUAAUCGGAAUUACUGGGCGUAAAGCGUGCGCAGGCGGUUUGUUAAGUCUGCUGUGAAAUCCCCGAGCUCAACUUGGGAAUUGCAGUGGAUACUGGCAAGCUGGAGUACGGUAGAGGAAGGUGGAAUUCCCGGUGUAGCAGUGAAAUGCGUAGAUAUCGUCUGGAACGCCGAAGGUGAAAACAGCUCGCUGGGAUUGUGCUGACGCUGAGACACGAAAGCCAGGGGAGCGAACGGG